RNAcentral lists this ribosomal RNA (423 nucleotides) under Pseudomonas aeruginosa. Its description in RNAcentral is "partial 23S ribosomal RNA". It matches the Rfam family "Bacterial large subunit ribosomal RNA", at positions 1 to 463 of the family's 2925-position model. The record is from RNAcentral. Lineage: Bacteria; Pseudomonadati; Pseudomonadota; Gammaproteobacteria; Pseudomonadales; Pseudomonadaceae.
GGUUAAGCGACUAAGCGUACACGGUGGAUGCCCUGGCAGUCAGAGGCGAUGAAGGACGUGCUAAUCUGCGAAAAGCGUCGGUAAGGUGAUAUGAACCGUUACAGCCGGCGAUGUCCGAAUGGGGAAACCCAGUGCAAUUCGUUGCACUAUCGUUAACUGAAUACAUAGGUUAACGAGGCGAACCGGGGGAACUGAAACAUCUAAGUACCCCGAGGAAAAGAAAUCAACCGAGAUUCCCCCAGUAGCGGCGAGCGAACGGGGAGCAGCCCAGAGUCUGAAUCAGCUUGUGUGUUAGUGGAACGGUCUGGAAAGUCCGACGGUACAGGGUGAUAGUCCCGUACACCAAAAUGCACAGGCUGUGAACUCGAAGAGUAGGGCGGGACACGUGGUAUCCUGUCUGAAUAUGGGGGGACCAUCCUCCAA